This 253-nucleotide ribosomal RNA is filed under the name uncultured bacterium. RNAcentral's name for it is "partial 16S ribosomal RNA". It matches the Rfam family "Bacterial small subunit ribosomal RNA", at positions 524 to 776 of the family's 1533-position model. The record is from RNAcentral.
UACGUAGGGUGCGAGCGUUGUCCGGAAUUAUUGGGUGUAAAGGGCUCGUAGGCGGUUUGUCGCGUCGGGAGUGAAAUCCACUGGCUUAACUGGUGGCUUGCUUUCGAUACGGGCAGACUAGAGGUAUGCAGGGGAGAACGGAAUUCCUGGUGUAGCGGUGGAAUGCGCAGAUAUCAGGAGGAACACCGGUGGCGAAGGCGGUUCUCUGGGCAUUACCUGACGCUGAGGAGCGAAAGUGUGGGGAGCGAACAGG